This 498-nucleotide ribosomal RNA is filed under the name uncultured bacterium. Its description in RNAcentral is "partial 16S ribosomal RNA". It matches the Rfam family "Bacterial small subunit ribosomal RNA", at positions 28 to 507 of the family's 1533-position model. The record is from RNAcentral.
GACGAACGCUGGCGGCGUGCCUAAUACAUGCAAGUCGAGCGGACGAAUCGAAAGCUUGCUUUUGAUUCGUUAGCGGCGGACGGGUGAGUAACACGUGGGCAACCUGCCCUGUAGACGGGGAUAACACCGAGAAGUCGGUGCUAAUACUGGAUAACACGAAAUGUCGCAUGACGUUUCGUUGAAAGACGGCGCAAGCUGUCGCUACAGGAUGGGCCCGCGGCGCAUUAGCUAGUUGGUGAGGUAACGGCUCACCAAGGCGACGAUGCGUAGCCGACCUGAGAGGGUGAUCGGCCACACUGGGACUGAGACACGGCCCAGACUCCUACGGGAGGCAGCAGUAAGGAAUCUUCCGCAAUGGACGAAAGUCUGACGGAGCAACGCCGCGUGAGCGAAGAAGGCCUUCGGGUCGUAAAGCUCUGUUGUUAGGGAAGAACAAGUAACGCAGUAACUGGCGUUACCGUGACGGUACCUAACGAGAAAGCCACGGCUAACUACGUG